UCAGGACGAACGCUGGCGGCGUGCUUCACACAUGCAAGUCGAACGGAAAGGCACCUUCGGGUGUACUCGAGUGGCGAACGGGUGAGUAACACGUGAGUAAUCUGCCUUUAGCUUUGGGAUAAGCCUCGGAAACGGGGUCUAAUACCGGAUAUGACUGCUGCUCGCAUGAGUGGUGGUGGAAAGUUUUUUCGGCUAAAGAUGGGCUCGCGGUCUAUCAGCUUGUUGGUGGGGUAAUGGCUCACCAAGGCUUUGACGGGUAGCCGGCCUGAGAGGGCGACCGGCCACACUGGGACUGAGAUACGGCCCAGACUCCUACGGGAGGCAGCAGUGGGGAAUAUUGCGCAAUGGGCGAAAGCCUGACGCAGCGACGCCGCGUGAGGGAUGACGGCCUUCGGGUUGCAAACCUCUUUCGGUAGGGACGAAGCGUAGGUGACGGUACCUGCAGAAGAAGCGCCGGCUAACUACGUGCCAGCCGCGGC
This 479-nucleotide ribosomal RNA is filed under the name uncultured bacterium. RNAcentral's name for it is "bacterial SSU rRNA". It matches the Rfam family "Bacterial small subunit ribosomal RNA", at positions 24 to 518 of the family's 1533-position model. The record is from RNAcentral.